CCUACGGGUGGCAGCAGUGGGGAAUAUUGCACAAUGGGGGAAACCCUGAUGCAGCGACGCCGCGUGAGGGAAGAAGUAUCUCGGUACGUAAAGCUCUAUCAGCAGGGAAGAAAAUGACGGUACCUGACUAAUAAGCCCCGGCUAACUACGUGCCAGCAGCCGCGGUAAUACGUAGGGGGCAAGCGUUAUCCGGAUUUACUGGGUGUAAAGGGAGCGUAGGCGGAUUGAAAAGUCCGUGGUGAAAUUCCGCGGCUUAACCGUGGAAUUGCAGUUGAAACUGUGCGGCUGGAGUGCAGGAGGGGAGGGCGGAAUUCGUGGUGUAGCGGUGAAAUGCGUAGAUAUUAGGAAGAACUCCGAUGGCGAAGGCAGGUGGCUGGACUGCAACUGACGUUGAGGCUCGAAAGUGUGGGUAUCAAACAGGAUUAGAUACCCGAGUAGUC
RNAcentral lists this ribosomal RNA (440 nucleotides) under uncultured bacterium. RNAcentral describes it as "partial 16S ribosomal RNA". It matches the Rfam family "Bacterial small subunit ribosomal RNA", at positions 338 to 795 of the family's 1533-position model. The record is from RNAcentral.